Molecule: long non-coding RNA, 1287 nt
Filed under: Struthio camelus australis
Lineage: Eukaryota; Metazoa; Chordata; Aves; Struthioniformes; Struthionidae
Description: lncRNA (ENSSCUG00000002284.1)
Source: RNAcentral
AUGUCCUUCUGCCUCCCUCCGCCUCGUGUUAGUGCCCGGCACUUCCAGUUUUGGCUGAGAGCUGCAGCAAACGUCCGGGGCCGGCGGUUCCCACGAUGUGGGGGCACCCCGGUCCUUCCGGGGCCAACGGUUCCUGUGAUGCUGGGAUGCCCCGAUCCCCUGGGGCCAGCGGUUCCCGCGAUGCCGGAGCGCCUCGAUCCCUCUGGGGCCGGCGGUUCCCGCGAUGCUGGUGCACCCCGAUCCCUCUGGGGCCGGCGGUUCCCGCGAUGCUGGGGCGCCCCGGUCCCUCUGGGGCCGGCGGUUCCCGCGAUGCUGGUGCACCCCGGUCCCUCUGGGGCCAGCAGUUCUCGCGAUGCCGGGGCACCCUGGUCCCUCUGGGGCCAGCGGUUCCCAAUGAUGCCAGCUGGACCACGGUGAGUCCAAGCGGUAGAAAUGGGUCCUGAGCCACUUUGUUGGCUCAGUAUUUCCCAGCUGGCAAAACCGUGUCUCCGGUCUGGUCCUGCGGGGCCGAGGCGGCCACGCUCCGCUCCCGGGCACCUCCGCUGAGCCGGCGUGCUCCUGGCGUUUCGUCUCCCUGGGGUCCUCGCGCGUGGCCCAGCGCUUUGGUGCAGGCGGAGCAAAAAGGGUCCGACUUAACCGAGUGCUGCUUUAUUAGCAAGCGCAAAACUGGAAUUGCUCAUGGCUUAACACUCGUUUAAAGGACCAGAGCAUCGUAGACGUGGUAUCCGGCAAAGGACUGAUGCAUUUCCUCAGUCGUUUUUACUGCUAAGGUUUUGUUCAGAUUGCUUAUUUUUAUGGAAAUGACUUGCUGCGAGUGGAGAAGGGUGUAUGGCCCAUUAACCAACUGCAAACGCAGAGACAGCCCCGCUUUGCUUCUCCCGGCAGUAAAUUCGAAACACCAAAUUGAGAGUUCAUAGCUGUCUUGGGCUUCAACUACUGUUUCAAAGUGUUCCUGCUGUAUAAAUUUGUCAUUAUGUCAGCAAGCAAGCGCCAAGCGCGCACGUUUCCGGGCCCAAGGUAUUCAGGGCUUGCUGUAAAGUGACUCUAAAAACGAGGGUCUUCAAGCAAACAAACAAGCAAAAAUACCCCAACAGUAACUAACCCGGAUAUGCUGAAGUCUAAAGCACUCAAAUUGGAAAACCCUCAAGUGUUCUGACGAGUUUCUUCCACUGUUACGCGUUUUGCACACGAUUGUGAUUUUUAUGUCAAAAAGAAAAGCCAAAACUUGCAAUACUAUUUUUAGCAGACAAAAAUAAAUAAAAAAACAACUAAGUAUAAAUGUAUAAA